Molecule: ribosomal RNA, 1469 nt
Filed under: uncultured gamma proteobacterium B2M54
Lineage: Bacteria; Pseudomonadati; Pseudomonadota; Gammaproteobacteria
Description: bacterial SSU rRNA
Rfam family: Bacterial small subunit ribosomal RNA
Source: RNAcentral
CGCUGGCGGCAUGCCCAACACAUGCAAGUCGAACGGAAACGACGAAAACAAUCCCUUCGGGGCGCGUUUUCGGGCGUCGAGUGGCGGACGGGUGCGUAACGCCUAGGAAUCUACCUUAUAGUGGGGGACAACUCGAGGAAACUCGAGCUAAUACCGCAUAAUCCUUACGAGGGAAAGCAGGGGAUCUUCGGACCUUGUGCUAUUAGAUGAGCCUGCGUCGGAUUAGCUUGUUGGUAGGGUAAUGGCCUACCAAGGCAACGAUCCGUAGCUGGUCUGAGAGGACGACCAGCCACACUGGGACUGAGACACGACCCAGACUCCUACGGGAGGCAGCAGUGGGGAAUAUUGGACAAUGGGCGCAAGCCUGAUCCAGCAAUGCCGCGUGUGUGAAGAAGGCCUUAGGGUUGUAAAGCACUUUCAGUAGGGAAGAAAUGCGUGUAGCUAAUAACUGCGCGUCUUGACGGUACCUACAGAAGAAGCACCGGCUAACUCCGUGCCAGCAGCCGCGGUAAUACCGGAAGGGUGCAAGCGUUAAUCGGAAUUACUGGGCGUAAAGCGCGCGUAGGCGGUUAUAUAAGUCGGAUGUGAAAGCCCUGGGCUCAACCUGGGAACUGCAUUCGAUACUGUAUAACUAGGAGUUUGGUAGAGGGAAGUGGAAUUCCACAUGUAGCGGUGAAAUGCGUAGAUAUGUGGAGGAACACCAGUGGCGAAGGCGACUUCCUGGACCAAAACUGACGCUGAGGUGCGAAAGCGUGGGUAGCCAACAGGAUUAGAUACCCUGGUAGUCCACGCCGUAAACGAUGUCGACUAGCCGUUGGGGGAAUUUGUCCCUUAGUGGCGCAGCUAACGCGACAAGUUGACCGCCUGGGGAGUACGGUCGCAAGAUUAAAACUCAAAGGAAUUGACAGGGGCCCGCACAAGCGGUGGAGCAUGUGGUUUAAUUCGAUGCAACGCGAAGAACCUUACCAGCCCUUGACAUCCUCGGAACUUACUAGAGAUAGUUUGGUGCCUUCGGGAACCGAGUGACAGGUGCUGCAUGGCUGUCGUCAGCUCGUGUCCUGAGAUGUUGGGUUAAGUCCCGUAACAAGCGCAACCCCUAUCCUUAGUUGCCAGCACGUAAUGGUGGGAACUCUAGGGAGACUGCCGGUGACAAACCGGAGGAAGGUGGGGAUGACGUCAAGUCAUCAUGGCCCUUAUGGGCUGGGCUACACACGUGCUACAAUGGCCGGUACAGAGGGUUGCCAACCCGCGAGGGGGAGCUAAUCCCAGAAAGCCGGUCGUAGUCCGGAUUGGAGUCUGCAACUCGACUCCAUGAAGUCGGAAUCGCUAGUAAUCGCGGAUCAGAAUGCCGCGGUGAAUACGUUCCCGGGCCUUGUACACACCGCCCGUCACACCAUGGGAGUGGGUUGCACCAGAAGUAUUAGCCUAACCUUCGGGAGGGCGAUUACACGGUGUGAUUCAUGACUGGG